AUUGAACGCUGGCGGCAGGCCUAACACAUGCAAGUCGAGCGGAUGAAGGGAGCUUGCUCCUGGAUUCAGCGUGGGGAGGGUGAGUGAUGCCUAUGAAUAUGCCUGGUAGUGGGGUAGAACAUCCUGAGACAGCCGCGAAUACCGCAUACGUCGAGCGCGUGAUAGUGGGGGAGCUUCGGACCUUACGCGAGGAGGUGGACCUAGGCGGGGUUAGCUAGCUGGUUGGGUAAAGGCCUGCUAAGGCGGCGAUUCGUAACUGGUCUGAGUGGAUGAUCAGUCACACUGGAAGUGAGACACGGUCCAGACUACUACGGGAGGCAGCAGUGGGGAAUAUUGGACAAUGGGCGAAAGCAUGAUCCAGCGAUGCCGCGUGUGUGACGAAGGUCUUGGGAUUGUAAAGAACUCUAAGUUGGGAGAAACCGCAGUAAGUUAAGACCUUGCUCUUUUGACGGUAAUAAGAGAAUAAGCACCGGCUAACUUCGUG
Molecule: ribosomal RNA, 484 nt
Filed under: uncultured bacterium
Lineage: Bacteria
Description: partial 16S ribosomal RNA
Rfam family: Bacterial small subunit ribosomal RNA
Source: RNAcentral